CUUUUCAUUAUUUCCCCUUUUGACCCACUCUUGAGACAUUUGAUCACUAAUUAUAUCCAGCAUCAAAGUGAAGUUUGUAAAACAUCAAAGUAGCUACACGGUGCUGGAUCAGGUCCUGGGUACUACAACAUCUUAGUAGCCAUUACAUUUUAUAUUUUUAUGAUAACAAUAAACGUAGCCUAGAAUAUUAAGAAUUCCUGGUCUUGGACCCACACAUUAUUGGGGCACCUAGUAUAGAAACUGAGUUCUGAAUAGCACUUUAAAUUAACACCGUACAUCUAAAUAUUAACAGUCCCCAGGUAGCAUUUAUUGUUACUUCUCAAUUAAUACACUUUAUUUUACCCUGAGCAUUAUGAUGUUUUGCUAUUAUUGGCAGGUUCAAGAAGAUGCUAGGAACUUGCCAUCCCUUUCCUCCGUCAAGCCGUUUAAACCUCCUGAAAUGCACCUGUGACCCUUUGCUUCUGUUGGUUUUGGCAUCUUGUCUAUUAUGGCCGUGUACCACCUUCAUGUCCAGGGAAAGGAGCAGUAGUGUGCUGUGCAAGAGGCAGAUUUGCUGAGAGCUGUUCAGGGAGAAAACUGUAAGUCAUCAGUCCUAGCACAAAUUAGCUUCAGGACAACGUGGGUGUUUCAUGGAGACCCAAGGCAGUAUUAUGAUCAUUUAACUUCAAAGUGUAUGUGGCAAGGUAAGAAC
This is a non-coding RNA of Macaca mulatta (Rhesus monkey), 691 nucleotides long. NCBI's taxonomy places the organism in Eukaryota, Metazoa, Chordata, Mammalia, Primates, Cercopithecidae. The record is from RefSeq and is a predicted model, not a curated record.